CAUCUUCGAUUUGUUGGGGGCAGAUGAAAUGGAUAUGGCUGUCAAACCCGCCCGCCGUCAGGAUCUUGCCCUCGCCAGCAAUCACCUCGGUGCCGGGACCGACGACGAUAUCCACGCCGGGCUGAGUAUCAGGGUUUCCUGCCUUGCCGAUGGUGUGAAUGCGACCGCUCCGCAACCCAACAUCAGCCUUGUAAAUCCCGGUAUGAUCCACAAUCAGCGCAUUGGUAAUCACCGUGUCCACUGCCCCGCCUGCGCGGGUGACCUGACUUUGCCCCAUCCCGUCACG
RNAcentral lists this small RNA (286 nucleotides) under Thalassovita taeanensis. RNAcentral describes it as "Phaeobacter sp. G4 5' ureB small RNA". It matches the Rfam family "5' ureB small RNA". Lineage: Bacteria; Pseudomonadati; Pseudomonadota; Alphaproteobacteria; Rhodobacterales; Roseobacteraceae. The record is from Rfam by way of RNAcentral.